Molecule: non-coding RNA, 484 nt
Filed under: Pongo abelii (Sumatran orangutan)
Lineage: Eukaryota; Metazoa; Chordata; Mammalia; Primates; Hominidae
Source: RNAcentral
CUGAGGAGUGAAGAGCUCCAGGGAUUUCACUCUUCUUUCUGUGUGUGAAGGAAGGCAGGUUUAUUUGCAAGAUGGGUUUGAGGGAAUUAAGGAUAAAGUCUGCUGACAGUAGAACCAACACCUGGAUUAAAAGGGAUGUUUGGAUGAAGCUUCAAUCUCAAGAAGAGGCAAGAGAAAACUAAAGAAAAAGAGACAAGAAGGUAGUUGAGAAGCUGUGAACCUGCAUUGCAUUCUAGUGGUGGGACACACGGAAGGGGAAGCUGAAGUUGAAGGGUGGAUGGUAGUAGCCGCAGGGAGUGAGAUGGGCUUGUUUCUGGAGCUGAUGGGAGACAAAAAGGGAGUCAAACGGGAAUUCACACAGGGUUGUGCAUUAUAUCCAAGUGUGUAUUCGGAUACAAGCCUUUAUCUCAAUACCUUCCUUACCCCCAUUCUGCACAUAUUUCAUACCAAAGUACAAAUAAAACCAUUCCCAAUUGUUCUAAUA